GACGAACGCUGGCGGCGUGCCUAAUACAUGCAAGUAGAACGCUGAAGGAGGAGCUUGCUCUUCUGGAUGAGUUGCGAACGGGUGAGUAACGCGUAGGUAACCUGCCUGGUAGCGGGGGAUAACUAUUGGAAACGAUAGCUAAUACCGCAUAACAGUAGUUGUGCCUGAACAUUUCCUAAAAAGGUGCAAUUUCACCAUUACCAAUUGGACCUGCGUUGUAUUAGUUAGUUGGUGGGGAAACGGCUCACCAAGGCGACGAUACAUAGCCGACCUGAGAGGGUGAUCGGCCACACUGGGACUGAGACACGGCCCAGACUCCUACGGGAGGCAGCAGUAGGGAAUCUUCGGCAAUGGACGGAAGUCUGACCGAGCAACGCCGCGUGAGUGAAGAAGGUUUUCGGAUCGUAAAGCUCUGUUGUAAGAGAAGAACGAGUGUGAGAGUGGAAAGUUCACACUGUGACGGUAUCUUACCAGAAAGGGACGGCUAACUACGUG
RNAcentral lists this ribosomal RNA (495 nucleotides) under uncultured bacterium. RNAcentral's name for it is "partial 16S ribosomal RNA". It matches the Rfam family "Bacterial small subunit ribosomal RNA", at positions 28 to 507 of the family's 1533-position model. The record is from RNAcentral.